Molecule: ribosomal RNA, 744 nt
Filed under: uncultured bacterium
Lineage: Bacteria
Description: bacterial SSU rRNA
Rfam family: Bacterial small subunit ribosomal RNA
Source: RNAcentral
AGAGUUUGAUCAUGGCUCAGAACGAACGCUGGCGGCAGGCCUCAAACAUGCAAGUCUAGGGGGUGUAGCAAUACAUCACCGGCGGACGGGUGCGUAACGCGUGGGAAUAUACCUAUUGGUUCGGAACAACUGAGGGAAACUUCAGCUAAUACCGAAUAAGUCCUUACGGAGAAAGAUUUAUCGCCAAUAGAUUAGCCCGCGUUCGAUUAGCUAGUUGGUGGGGUAACGGCCCACCAAGGCGACGAUCGAUAGCUGUUCUGAGAGGAAGAUCAGCCACACUGGGACUGAGACACGGCCCAGACUCCUACGGGAGGCAGCAGUUGGGAAUCUUGGACAAUGGGGGAAACCCUGAUCCAGCCAUGCCGCGUGAGUGAUGAAGGCCUUCGGGUUGUAAAACUCUUUCGCGCACGACGAUAAUGACGGUAGUGCGAGAAGAAGCUCCGGCUAACUUCGUGCCAGCAGCCGCGGUAAUACGAAGGGGGCUAGCGUUGUUCGGAAUUACUGGGCGUAAAGCGCGCGCAGGCGGUCUUCCAAGUCAGUGGUGAAAGCCCGGAGCUCAACUCCGGAACUGCCAUUGAAACUGUGAGACUUGAGUAUGAGAGAGGUGAGUGGAAUUCCCAGUGUAGAGGUGAAAUUCGUAGAUAUUGGGAAGAACACCGGUGGCGAAGGCGGCUCACUGGCUCAUUACUGACGCUCAGNNGCGACAGCGUGGGGAUCAAACAGGAUUAGAUACCCUAGUAGUCC